CAGCCCAAAGAAGCCAUCCUAGUAAGGACUGCAAAUUAGUGUAUCCUUAUUCUUCAUUUCAAAAAUACUUUGGAGCACAGUAUGAAGGAUCAAAUUAAACUGAACUUGAGAAAUACCACUGCUAUAGGGGCUUGGAGCAACGUAGUGUCUGCUUAGAUUUAACAGUUCUCUUUAAAGAGUUUGAUCCGAUUACCACACACAAAAAUCCUCAGUAUUUAUUUCAGCUGUAGUGGCACUUCUGAGUGAAGAGCGAAAGCUACCAGAUGUAUCUCACAGCUUCAGAUGCCUUUGCUGGGUCCAGCUCAUAUAGGAUACUCCAUUAAUGGAGAAAAUCAGGAUGUGUAGGUUCCCUUUUUGGACGCAUUUACAUGAACGUGUAUAACUAUGCAAGCUCUUUCACUGUACCCUCAAAGGCUUAUUGAGACACGGCACAAGUUUUACAUCAGGCCAAGCUCAUAUGCAGGCAGCUUUGAGAAGCAGAGCAAGCCCGAAUAUGUUUGUUCUUGACAUCUAUUGCAGUGGAGAGCAGAGAAAGGAAUAGAAGAAAUGCACUGACAGCUCAGCCAGCCUGUGCCUCCCAUCUCAAUUCAAUGCCUUCCCCCAGCCCUUUACAGGAUCAAAAAGAUGCUAUUUCAGAUCUCGGUUCAUAAUAACAAAGAUAUGUAUGUCCUUCUGAUCUCUCUGGAUUUUAACUUUCAGUUCCUGUCCUCCUACACAUCCCAUUUCUGCAUGGGAAAACCACACCGAUUCCACUGCAGAAGACUUUUGCACUCCUCCAGACCAGAGGCUAGGGAGGCCCUUCAGGAAGGGGGUGAGCCAUGUGUGAUGAAGACCAGCCAUGAAGCCAUUACUCUGCAUCCCAUGCAAUGGAACUGAAUGAUGGAGUUCCCCACGGAGAAGUGACCCACAGAAGCAGAACAGGAAAAAGACAAUUGGGUCAGCAUUUAUCAAGAAAUGGGUGGAAAUGUGUUAGCUUGAAAGAGCAGCAAGCAAAGGUUGUUUUUUUCCUCCCCCUCACAGUACUGUAGCUAUGGUGUCAAAUCCUAUCUGACCCCUGUUCUGAGAGGAAUGGCUUUGUUAAGAGGAAGUGCACGUCAUCAAGACAAAUCUCUCUCUUUAUUAAAUUAAUUCCUGUACAAGAGACUGAGACCUUUCCUUUUAAGCUCAGAGGGAA
This 1174-nucleotide long non-coding RNA is filed under the name Anas platyrhynchos platyrhynchos (common mallard). RNAcentral's name for it is "lncRNA (ENSAPLG00000029534.1)". Lineage: Eukaryota; Metazoa; Chordata; Aves; Anseriformes; Anatidae. The record is from RNAcentral.